CUUUAGAUAGCUUAAAAAAAGCCUCAGCCUCUUAAUCUGAUGAUGAAUAAUAAUUCUCUAAAGA
This 64-nucleotide transfer RNA is filed under the name Phyllophorella liuwutiensis. Its description in RNAcentral is "tRNA-Lys". The record is from RNAcentral. Lineage: Eukaryota; Metazoa; Echinodermata; Holothuroidea; Dendrochirotida; Phyllophoridae.